CCUCGCUGAUGUUGUAGAGAAGGUUGUCUUCACGCUGCAUGACAGCUUCAAGAGGCCCAAGAGAAUCCUCAAGACGCCUCCUUUCAUGAUCACUGAGAAGGGGUACGGAGGAUUCUUUUUACCUGUUGAAGUUUUCCUGCAGAACAACAAACAAAUGAGGUUUGAGUAUGACCUGUCCCUGCAAGACCUCCAUGCACCGCCAAUUACCCUCACCCG
Molecule: long non-coding RNA, 216 nt
Organism: Hyalella azteca
Lineage: Eukaryota; Metazoa; Arthropoda; Malacostraca; Amphipoda; Hyalellidae
Exons: 3
Source: RefSeq, a predicted model, not a curated record